GGGGAGAUUUGUGGACAUAUGCAUCAUGCUGAGAGCUCUUUCUCAUAUAUUACUUCUAUUUAGUGAGGUAACCGGAGCUGAAUACAUGUAAUCAGAACACUACGACACAAGGUGUUACGGCUCAGACUCCUGCCAACGACGCCCAUCCGUCUGUGCUCCACGGGCUUUUCCUCUCCGCUGCGGGCGCACCUCCGCACGGCUGCAGGAGUUCUGUAAUCAGCGCACCUGCCUGGGAUGAACGAAGUGCCUUCAUAAGCUCGCACAACCUGCCAUGCGGCGCCGGAGUAUAGUCUUCUGUUGGUACAUACCCUCCGUCGCCUGGAAAGUGAGCUGUGCGUCUCACUUUUCCUCGGAUCUCCCUCUGGACUCUGUCUGCCUCCCUCGAUCCUUGACUUCCCUGGCUUUGGACUCGAACCUGUAGACUUCUCUCUCCCCUGGACUUCCUCGUAUCUCAUUCAACAUUUACGGUAACACUCAACAGCUAAUCUACAACACAGCCUUACAUCAUACACACUCUUAGAUUUUGUCACACUUCAUUUCCUUAGUUAGUAUA
Molecule: long non-coding RNA, 553 nt
Organism: Entelurus aequoreus (snake pipefish)
Lineage: Eukaryota; Metazoa; Chordata; Actinopteri; Syngnathiformes; Syngnathidae
Exons: 3
Source: RefSeq, a predicted model, not a curated record